GAUUUUUGGGGGGGCUUUUGGGGUUUUUGGGAAGUUUUGGGGGAUUUGGGGUUUUUUGGGGAUUUGGGGGAAGUUUUGGGGGAUUUGAGGAUUUUUGGGGUUGUUUUUAGGGAUUUUGAGGUUUUUUUGGAUUUGGGUUUUUUUGGGGAGAUUUGGGAUUUUUUGGGCAAAGUUUUUGGGAUUUGGGGUUUUUUUGGAUUUGGGAAUUUUGGGGGAUUUGGGGCUUUUGGGGGAUUUGGGGUUUGGGUGGGAGUUGAGAUUUUUUGGGGGGAUUUGGGGUUUUUGGGAAGUUGUUGGGAUUUGGAGUUUUUUGGGAUUUGGGGGAAGUUUUGGGGGAUUUGGGGCUCUCUUGGAUUUGGGGGUUUUGGGGAGAUUUGGGAUUUUUGGGGUUUUUUUUGGGAUUUGGGGGGGUUUGGGGAUUUGAGGUUUUUUGGGGUUGUUUUUAGGGAUUUUGGGGUUUUUUUGGGAUUUGGGUUUUUUUGGGGGAGAUUUGGGAUUUUUUGGGCGAAGUUUUUGGGAUUUGGGUUUUUUUUGGAUUUGGGAAUUUUGGGGGAUUUGGGGCUUUUGGGGGAUUUGGGGUUUGGUUGGGAGUUGAGAUUUUUUGGGGGGAUUUGGGGGUUUUUUGAGAAGUUGUUGGAAUUUGGGGGUUUUUGGGGAUUUGAGGUAUUUUUGGGUUUAUUUUUUGGGAUUUGGGAAUUUUUUGGGAUUUGGGGGAUUUUUGGGAUCUGGGUUUUUUGGGGGGGACUUUGGAAUUUUUUUGGAUGUGGGGUUUUUUGGGAUUUGGGAGGGUUGGGGUUUUUGGGGGGAUUUGGGGCUUUUUUGGGAUUUGAGUUUGGUUUUUUGGGAUUUGGGUUUUUUUGGAUUUUGGGGUUUCUUGGGGGUAAAUUUGGGGUUUGUAUGGAUUUGGGGGUUUUGGGGGGAUUUGGGGGUUUUUGGGGGAAGUUUUUGAGAUUUGGGGUUUUCUUUGAUUUGGAUUUUUUUGGGAUUUGGGGUUUUUUGGGAUUUGGGUUUUUUUGGGAAUUGGGAUUGGGAUUUUUUUGGGAUUGGGGUUUUUUUUGGGGGCAUUUGGGUUUUUUUGGGAGAUUUGGGUUUUUUUGGGAUUUGGGUUUUUUGGGGGCAUUUGGGUUCUUCUUUGCUUUGGAUUUUUUGGGAGAUUUGGGGUUUUUUGGGAUUUCUUUUUUUUUGGAAUUGGGACUGGGGUUUUUUUCCGGAUUUGUGUUUCUCUUCGCUUUGGAUUUUUUGUGGGAUUCGGGGUUGUUUUUUUUUUUUUUGGAUUUGGGAGUUUUUUUCGGGAUUUGGGGGUGGUUUUUUUUCGGGAGUUGA
RNAcentral lists this long non-coding RNA (1323 nucleotides) under Corvus moneduloides (New Caledonian crow). Its description in RNAcentral is "lncRNA (ENSCMUG00000019173.1)". Lineage: Eukaryota; Metazoa; Chordata; Aves; Passeriformes; Corvidae. The record is from RNAcentral.